AACAAGAAUGUGUCCAUAGUACACGGAUGCCCCACUCGCACUAUCAUUUUCCAUGUUCAGUGGACCAUGAAAUUGGGGUCAAAACUUUAAUUUGAAAUUAAAAUUAGAAAGAUCAUAUCAUAGGGAACAUGGGUACUAAGUUUCAAGUGGAUGUGACUUCAACUUCAUCAAAAACUACCUUGACCAAAAACUUUAACCUGAAC
RNAcentral lists this long non-coding RNA (203 nucleotides) under Mytilus galloprovincialis (Mediterranean mussel). Lineage: Eukaryota; Metazoa; Mollusca; Bivalvia; Mytilida; Mytilidae. The record is from RNAcentral.